RNAcentral lists this ribosomal RNA (199 nucleotides) under uncultured bacterium. Its description in RNAcentral is "partial 16S ribosomal RNA". It matches the Rfam family "Bacterial small subunit ribosomal RNA", at positions 328 to 539 of the family's 1533-position model. The record is from RNAcentral.
ACGCUCGACACCUACGGGAGGCAGCAGUGGGGAAUAUUGCACAAUGGGGGAAACCCUGAUGCAGCGACGCCGCGUGAGCGAAGAAGUAUUUCGGUAUGUAAAGCUCUAUCAGCAGGGAAGAAGAAAGACGGUACCUGACUAAGAAGCCCCGGCUAACUACGUGCCAGUAGCCGCGGUAAUCUGAGCGGGCUGGCAAGGC